CUUCCUCUCUCUACACUGGCUGAUGAUAUUCCUCACCUCACCUGUCUCUUUGCUCAGCAGCCCAAUAGGAGCACUUUCUCCCUCCUCUGUGUGGGGUAAGGGGUGGGGGCAGGGUCCACCUGGCAUUGGCGGGAGGGGCAAGUCACGUGGCUGGGGUAGGGGCGGGGCAGGACUGGGAUGGCACUCCAUCUCUAAAAGGUUUGCCAUCACUGGCCUAGCCCUUACUGCUCUUUUGCAAAUUUUUUUAAACCUUUACUUCCCCCUUAGAACUAAAAAGUAAUAAGGACAAAAGCUUUAUUCUUUAAACUUGUGAAAAGUCUAGUUCGUGUAUGUAUGUGUAUCCACAUACGGCUAGGCAUAUAUUGGGUGUGUACAUAAAUGUAUAUAGGUACUGUCUGUGUGUAUUUAGUCCUAUAUGACACUUCAGGACUCCACUGGGGCUUUUGGCAAGGCUAUCGGCGGUUUGCCGUUGCCUUCUCGAGCUCAUUUUACAAACAGGAUUAAAUGCCUUGCUCCGAAUCACGCAGCUAGUAAGUGUCUGAGUCCGAAUUUGAACUCGGGUCUCUUCCUGGCUCCAAGCCCUGCUGUGCCACCGCGGUGCCCUUCAUCUGUACUGUGUACCCGUGUACUCAGACAUGUGGGUGUUCCUGAUCCUGGUCCUCAAAUCAACCACCUGUCUGAAAGGGAAUUUUAAAAUAACAAAUGAGAACUAAUUCAAAUUGGGCCGCUCUGUGUCCCUUCCACCAGUUUAAAUGAUGCCGUUCUCAGCCUCAUUCAUUCCGGCUAGGUCCGCUGCUUCCCCAUCUUCUUUAUUUUUUGCUGACCUCUCGGAGGCACGGAGCUGUGCACGGAACGAGGGGCUGUGCUUUCGGGGCAGGGAUACGCUUGGAGACCCCGCAGGCACCAGCCCAGACGCGUUUACCCGGGGAACGAGCGCGCCCCGCGUAACGGAGCUGUCCACUCGACUGAUUCCGAACGUGGUGGGAGAAGAUCCGAAGGGAAAGCCGAGCCAAAGGAGGUCAGGCUUCUUCCGGGGCAUCCUGGGAAUUGUAGUCCCCAGUGUGCCAGGGAUUCCACGCCCCGGGAAGAACUUGACUACGGUCCCCGAAAGCCUCCAGGCUUUCAGCUGGUGGGAGCAGCACUUCCUGAAACAGCUCGGGCUCAGCGGGAACCGACGCCGCAGCAGCAAUCCAGGCAGCCGCGGCAGAAACCGCGGCAGCUGCCCAGGGCGAUCUCCUCUCUUUGGGCCACUGCGGGACCCAGGCCGUGGGAGGCCCGUUUGGAGGAGAGCCAUUCCGACGCCGCAGAUCUUUUGGAGUCCAGUUCAUCUCAUCUGUUCAUGUAGAUUUACUACAAUUUCUCCCCAUUUGACAAAGGCAUUUUUAAACUUCCCAGGCAAACCUCCAACGUAUUUUUCUGACCCAGAGUGAUUGCU
RNAcentral lists this long non-coding RNA (1435 nucleotides) under Monodelphis domestica (gray short-tailed opossum). RNAcentral's name for it is "lncRNA (ENSMODG00000051184.1)". Lineage: Eukaryota; Metazoa; Chordata; Mammalia; Didelphimorphia; Didelphidae. The record is from RNAcentral.